Long non-coding RNA from Juglans regia (Persian walnut), 1811 nucleotides. RefSeq lists it as uncharacterized. The transcript is spliced from 3 exons. Lineage: Eukaryota; Viridiplantae; Streptophyta; Magnoliopsida; Fagales; Juglandaceae. The record is from RefSeq and is a predicted model, not a curated record.
UUAUGGGUCAAGCUCGCAAUGAAUUUGCCACUUGCUCAAUCGCCUAAUUAAUUGUCCUUGUUUCAGGCCUCGUAUAUUUGAAGAGCUCAGAGAUUCAGGAAGAGGAAUCAGUAGUCAUGGCAGCGCAUGCAAAAGAAGAUUGCAAAGGUUUACAUUACACAAAGCAAACCGAGUGCUGGUUAUAAGAAGAUUUGAGCGCAUUUGUGCUCCGACCACUCAUGCAGGCUCAUUCAAGUGCCACCUACACAGAAGUACUACUAGUGCACCACACAAAUCUUCACAGCCUAAUAAAGACAGCACAAACAGCAGUUGUUGGAACUUCGACUCCAAGAAGAUCAAUGCAUGGGAAGCCCUGGCUGUUGAGGUUCGGUAGUGCCGCCUUUACUGAACGACAGACACAAACAGUGGCUUCUGUCAAGCCUUAGAUGUACAUGAAAACUAGUUCUCUGGAGAUUUUCUUUUGAUAUAUAUUAUGGGAAAAGCUCAAAAUCGGUCGGGUGUAAUCCUUAUUUUCACACCGGCCAAUAGGAUUGCAACAUGUAUGAAAUAUAUUUUUCUUCUAAUGGAUCUUACCUCACGGACUCAACUCUAUCCCUCUCCUCUCUCUUCCCGAUUCUCUGUUCUUCCUCUCCCCUCCCCUCCCGAUUCUCCUCUCCCACAGAACAAUUCUCUGUUAGUUGCAUACAAAGGCAAUAAUAUGGUUCUUGAUAAGUGGAGAACCCGAAAGCUGGUGGCCCAAAAUCGUGAAAUUAUCAAAUGGGUUAGUUAUAUUCGUGGGGAUUCGGCGUGGGUUUUGGUAUAUUUGUAGAGAAUAGAGACAAAACGAGGUUGUGUUGCAUGGCUGAUUGAUCUGAAUCAUCGAGGAGAGGAGAGGAGAGGCAUGUUCUUUCUUUCCUUUUUUUCCUGCAUACGGCUGUAUUUUUUUUCCUAAAUUACUUCAGGUUCUCCACCGAUCAAAAACCAUGAAGGGCAGAUGCUAGUAAUCAACUGCUCAACAAUGUGAGAUCAACUAAUUCAAGUGCUUCAAGUUCCAACAUAGCUCGACCAGAGAACAUAGCUGCCAUAUGAUUCUAAGUUCCAACACACCAGAGAACUUGUAUUUGUUGCAGACUGCAUUCAAGUUGUAUUUGUUGCAGACUGAGUUGUAUUAUCAGAUCUUGAACUUUCAUACAAAUCAUGUACAACCAUCCACAUACAGAUCGUGUGCAUUUUUCAACAAAGCCUCAUGAUUUCUCACAUUUUCUCAGCAACCAAACAAAAUUUAAUAGAUAUUCUUCAAUCGAUGGAGGCCGAUGGGGGGUGGGGGUAGGAGCUAGAAGACAAUGGAUGGUGGGAGCAGGCCGACGAGGGUUGAGGGGAUAGUGGAUAGUGAGAGCAACACUGAUUGGUUUUUUCACACAGAACACAGAGAGACGAGAGGAGGCCGACGAUGGGGCAAGGAGGAGAGGGGCCCAAUCUUCUGGCAUCACGUUUUGGGAGAUGCUGUGAAUAUUUGAUCUGAUACAUGUUGUUCUAUUCUCAAUGUAGCUGAUAUCUACACGUGGCAACUGUUUAAUAGCUGGUGUAAAUCAACAUUACACACCCGACCGGCUCCAAGUGCCACUCAUAUAUUAUCUAGUUGUUGGAUUUUUUUUUCUUUUCAAGAGGCCAAUACCCAAAUUUUAUUUAAGAAGCUUGGGGAAUUCUCUAGUUCUUGUUAUAUUCUGAAUUCUUCAUUAGUAACAUGCCCAUGUUAUGCAUGUACGCUUGUUUAGACGAGAACCAGAGUAACAUGCAUGCAUUGAUGGUUUUGUGGCUCUGUAUAAACAAAA